CGCAGCCGCCUCUCCCCACGGGCGCGCCCCCGCCGCCACCCAGACGCGCGGGCUCGUACGGCGGCCCCGCCCCAGAGCGAAGACCCAGCCGCCCCCGCACGCCCGCCCGGGCCCGCCCCCGCCCGCUCUGAGUGGCUGGAAGCCGCUUCCGGGGCGUGGCCCUCUCCUAGGGCGCUCGCCGCUCGCUGCGGUGAGGCUGGCUUCUGGUGGACGUCCUACGUCUGGAAGCCCGGCCAAGCCCAGUGGGUCAGACAGUAAACUUCAGAUGGGGCUUGCGGCCUCCGGGUUUGGCGGGGAGGGAAAGCUGAUUCCAAAAGUGCUUCAGCGCUACUGCCGGCCGCGGGCUGGGACUACAAGACCCGCCUGCAGGAGUGCCCGGAGCAGGGUGGGACAGAGGGUAUGUGCCUGCAUGUGCCAGACAAGGUCAAAGUACAGCUUUUGCAGUCAGUCCUGAGCUUCCACCCCGUGAACUGAAUUCAAGUCAUCAGGCUUGGUGGGCUCAUGACACAGCAACGUGCUUUCCCACAUCACGGGGUAUAAGAGAGAAGGAGAGAGAAGCUGUGGUGCUUGCUAUGAUCCACUCCCCAACGUUACACUCGGUUGUCUGCACUUUUUUUGGUUUGGCACAAGUAUCUUCCAGUGUUGUGCCCACCUCGGCCGGCAAGGAAGACACAACACAGUCGGAUUCUUCUCAACAGCCUUUAUUGCAGGAAUGCCUCAAUGCUGCUACAGGGACCUCCGGGCACCCAGGAAGGACUGCUUAUAUGCACCCCAGCACAGUAGAAGGCUCCGUGGCCCCCUGGGAUUGGUCAGUCUGCUGGCACCUAAUUUGCAUGCACCUGCUCAGGAAGGGUUGGCACCAGAUUCGGGCUUACACCUGUGCUGAUGUUGUUUAUGACAACGGCACACCUGGAACCUGGCGCCAUCUUAGAGUUGGCUUACUACAUCUCCCCCUUUUUUGUUUAAUAAUAUGAUGCUGGACUAGGGCUGGGCAAAUCUGUCCAUCGACCACGGCUCCUGUCUUAGGUCGAUCCUCUAGUGUCACAGCCUUACCUAUCACCUCCAG
Molecule: long non-coding RNA, 1066 nt
Organism: Mus musculus (house mouse)
Lineage: Eukaryota; Metazoa; Chordata; Mammalia; Rodentia; Muridae
Product: predicted gene, 42221
Exons: 4
Source: RefSeq, a predicted model, not a curated record